This 403-nucleotide ribosomal RNA is filed under the name Bacteroidota bacterium. Its description in RNAcentral is "Bacteroidetes bacterium partial 16S ribosomal RNA". It matches the Rfam family "Bacterial small subunit ribosomal RNA", at positions 355 to 776 of the family's 1533-position model. The record is from RNAcentral. Lineage: Bacteria; Pseudomonadati; Bacteroidota.
UGGGGAAUAUUGCACAAUGGGGGAAACCCUGAUGCAGCGACGCCGCGUGAACGAAGAAGGUAUUCGUAUCGUAAAGUUCUGUCCUAUGGGAAGAUAAUGACAGUACCAUAGAAGAAAGCUCCGGCUAAAUACGUGCCAGCAGCCGCGGUAAUACGUAUGGAGCGAGCGUUGUCCGGAAUUAUUGGGCGUAAAGGGUACGCAGGCGGAAAUGCAAGUCAGGUGUAAAAGGCAGUAGCUUAACUACUGUAAGCAUUUGAAACUGCAUAUCUUGAGAAGAGUAGAGGUAAGUGGAAUUUUUAGUGUAGCGGUGAAAUGCGUAGAUAUUAAAAAGAAUACCGGUGGCGAAGGCGACUUACUGGGCUCAUUCUGACGCUGAGGAACGAAAGCGUGGGUAGCAAACAGG